Molecule: transfer RNA, 74 nt
Filed under: Camelus bactrianus (Bactrian camel)
Lineage: Eukaryota; Metazoa; Chordata; Mammalia; Artiodactyla; Camelidae
Also listed under: 2 other names
Rfam family: tRNA
About the family: Transfer RNA (tRNA) molecules are approximately 80 nucleotides in length. Their secondary structure includes four short double-helical elements and three loops (D, anti-codon, and T loops).
Source: Rfam by way of RNAcentral
GAGGGUAUAGCUCAAGUGGUAGAGCACAGGCUUAGCAUGCAUGAGGUCCUGGGUUCAAUUCCCCAGUACCUCCG